This is a long non-coding RNA of Meriones unguiculatus (Mongolian gerbil), 431 nucleotides long. RefSeq lists it as uncharacterized. The record is from RefSeq and is a predicted model, not a curated record. Lineage: Eukaryota; Metazoa; Chordata; Mammalia; Rodentia; Muridae. The transcript has 3 exons.
GGAAUGUGUAGUCCAUGGUACUGGCUUGAACUAAUGCGGUAACUUUGCGGUAUUUAUCAAGGAUGUAAAAGCGAAAUCAGGACAAAACAAUAGGUUUCAGGUGUUAGAGACUGAGAUGUCGCGGAGGCCAUUGAACUGCUAGUAUUUUUGGAUACACACUUUCCGAAUUCUGAUCAAGUGGACAACAUAUACUCACGCUGACUUAUCACCAUGCUGUGCCAUGUGGCUUCCUUUUCAUGCAUGCGGUGGACCCAGGCCCUCUGUACAUACGUAGCAGAAGUGCAGCUUGGUCUUCAAGUGGGACUCCUAACAACCGGAGCAGGGACUGUCUCUGACUCUGAUGCCUGCUUUUGGAUCCUUUUAUCCUAACUGGGCUGCCUUGUCUAGCCACAAUAGCAGAAGAUGUGCCUAGCCCUAUUGCAACUUGAUGU